UACGUAGGGGGCAAGCGUUGUCCGGAAUCAUUGGGCGUAAAGAGCGUGUAGGCGGCCAGAUAAGUCCGCUGUGAAAACUCGAGGCUCAACUUCGAGCUGUCGGCGGAAACUAUCUGGCUAGAGUCCGGAAGAGGAGAGUGGAAUUCCUGGUGUAGCGGUGAAAUGCGCAGAUAUCAGGAAGAACACCCGUGGCGAAGGCGGCUCUCUGGGACGGUACUGACGCUGAGACGCGAAAGCGUGGGUAGCAAACGGG
Molecule: ribosomal RNA, 253 nt
Filed under: uncultured bacterium
Lineage: Bacteria
Description: partial 16S ribosomal RNA
Rfam family: Bacterial small subunit ribosomal RNA
Source: RNAcentral